Molecule: ribosomal RNA, 497 nt
Filed under: uncultured bacterium
Lineage: Bacteria
Description: partial 16S ribosomal RNA
Rfam family: Bacterial small subunit ribosomal RNA
Source: RNAcentral
GAUGAACGCUGGCGGCGUGCCUAAUACAUGCAAGUCGAGCGAACAGACGAGGAGCUUGCUCCUCUGACGUUAGCGGCGGACGGGUGAGUAACACGUGGAUAACCUACCUAUAAGACUGGGAUAACUUCGGGAAACCGGAGCUAAUACCGGAUAAUAUAUUGAACCGCAGGGUUCAAUAGUGAAAGACGGUUUUGCUGUCACUUAUAGAUGGAUCCGCGCCGCAUUAGCGAGUUGGUAAGGUAACGGCUUACCAAGGCAACGAUGCGUAGCCGACCUGAGAGGGUGAUCGGCCACACUGGAACUGAGACACGGUCCAGACUCCUACGGGAGGCAGCAGUAGGGAAUCUUCCGCAAUGGGCGAAAGCCUGACGGAGCAACGCCGCGUGAGUGAUGAAGGUCUUCGGAUCGUAAAACUCUGUUAUUAGGGAAGAACAAAUGUGUAAGUAACUAUGCACGUCUUGACGGUACCUAAUCAGAAAGCCACGGCUAACUACGUG